GCGGAGGCUGUGGGCCCUUCCCCUCGGGAGCAGGUGGGUGCUGCCCAGGCGCGGGAGGAGGUGGCAGCUGCCUUGUCUCCGCAG
RNAcentral lists this non-coding RNA (84 nucleotides) under Sus scrofa (pig). The record is from RNAcentral. Lineage: Eukaryota; Metazoa; Chordata; Mammalia; Artiodactyla; Suidae.